GAUGAACGCUGGCGGCGUGCCUAAUACAUGCAAGUCGAGCGAACAGACGAGGAGCUUGCUCCUCUGACGUUAGCGGCGGACGGGUGAGUAACACGUGGAUGACCUACCUAUAAGACUGGGAUAACUUCGGGAAACCGGAGCUAAUACCGGAUAAUAUAUUGAACCGCAUGGUUCAAUAGUGAAAGACGGUUUUGCUGUCACUUAUAGAUGGAUCCGCGCCGCAUUAGCUAGUUGGUAAGGUAACGGCUUACCAAGGCAACGAUGCGUAGCCGACCUGAGAGGGUGAUCGGCCACACGGGAACUGAGACACGGUCCAGACUCCUACGGGAGGCAGCAGUAGGGAAUCUUCCGCAAUGGGCGAAAGCCUGACGGAGCAACGCCGCGUGAGUGAUGAAGGUCUUCGGAUCGUAAAACUCUGUUAUUAGGGAAGAACAAAUGUGUAAGUAACUAUGCACGUCUUGACGGUACCUAAUCAGAAAGCCACGGCUAACUACGUG
RNAcentral lists this ribosomal RNA (497 nucleotides) under uncultured bacterium. RNAcentral's name for it is "partial 16S ribosomal RNA". It matches the Rfam family "Bacterial small subunit ribosomal RNA", at positions 28 to 507 of the family's 1533-position model. The record is from RNAcentral.